GAUGGCGAUGGGGCUCGCCGAAACCGCCUGCGGGCUGAUGGCUCCUACC
RNAcentral lists this non-coding RNA (49 nucleotides) under zebrafish metagenome. RNAcentral describes it as "Fluoride riboswitch". It matches the Rfam family "Fluoride riboswitch aptamer (crcB RNA motif)", at positions 10 to 58 of the family's 64-position model. The record is from RNAcentral.